GACGAACGCUGGCGGCGUGCUUAACACAUGCAAGUCGAGCGGUAAGGCCCUUUCGGGGGUACACGAGCGGCGAACGGGUGAGUAACACGUGGGUGACCUGCCCUCAGCUCUGGGAUAAGCCUGGGAAACCGGGUCUAAUACUGGAUAUGACUCCAUGACGCAUGUUGUGGGGUGGAAAGCCUUGUGCGGCUGAGGAUGGGCCCGCGGCCUAUCAGCUUGUUGGUGGGGUGANGGCCUACCAAGGCGACGACGGGUAGCCGGCCUGAGAGGGCGACCGGCCACACUGGGACUGAGACACGGCCCAGACUCCUACGGGAGGCAGCAGUGGGGAAUCUUGCGCAAUGGGCGAAAGCCUGACGCAGCGACGCCGCGUGAGGGAUGACGGCCUCGGUG
This 393-nucleotide ribosomal RNA is filed under the name uncultured bacterium. Its description in RNAcentral is "bacterial SSU rRNA". It matches the Rfam family "Bacterial small subunit ribosomal RNA", at positions 28 to 422 of the family's 1533-position model. The record is from RNAcentral.